AGAGUUUGAUCCUGGCUCAGAUUGAACGCUGGCGGCAGGCCUAACACAUGCAAGUCGAGCGGUAGCACAGAGAGCUUGCUCUCGGGUGACGAGCGGCGGACGGGUGAGUAAUGUCUGGGAAACUGCCUGAUGGAGGGGGAUAACUACUGGAAACGGUAGCUAAUACCGCAUAACGUCGCAAGACCAAAGUGGGGGACCUUCGGGCCUCAUGCCAUCAGAUGUGCCCAGAUGGGAUUAGCUGGUAGGUGGGGUAACGGCUCACCUAGGCGACGAUCCCUAGCUGGUCUGAGAGGAUGACCAGCCACACUGGAACUGAGACACGGUCCAGACUCCUACGGGAGGCAGCAGUGGGGAAUAUUGCACAAUGGGCGCAAGCCUGAUGCAGCCAUGCCGCGUGUGUGAAGAAGGCCUUCGGGUUGUAAAGCACUUUCAGCGGGGAGGAAGGCGGUGAGGUUAAUAACCUCAUCGAUUGACGUUACCCGCAGAAGAAGCACCGGCUAACUCCGUGCCAGCAGCCGCGGUAAUACGGAGGGUGCAAGCGUUAAUCGGAAUUACUGGGCGUAAAGCGCACGCAGGCGGUCUGUCAAGUCGGAUGUGAAAUCCCCGGGCUCAACCUGGGAACUGCAUUCGAAACUGGCAGGCUAGAGUCUUGUAGAGGGGGGUAGAAUUCCAGGUGUAGCGGUGAAAUGCGUAGAGAUCUGGAGGAAUACCGGUGGCGAAGGCGGCCCCCUGGACAAAGACUGACGCUCAGGUGCGAAAGCGUGGGGAGCAAACAGGAUUAGAUACCCUGGUAGUCCACGCUGUAAACGAUGUCGAUUUGGAGGUUGUGCCCUUGAGGCGUGGCUUCCGGAGCUAACGCGUUAAAUCGACCGCCUGGGGAGUACGGCCGCAAGGUUAAAACUCAAAUGAAUUGACGGGGGCCCGCACAAGCGGUGGAGCAUGUGGUUUAAUUCGAUGCAACGCGAAGAACCUUACCUGGUCUUGACAUCCACAGAACUUUCCAGAGAUGGAUUGGUGCCUUCGGGAACUGUGAGACAGGUGCUGCAUGGCUGUCGUCAGCUCGUGUUGUGAAAUGUUGGGUUAAGUCCCGCAACGAGCGCAACCCUUAUCCUUUGUUGCCAGCGGUCCGGCCGGGAACUCAAAGGAGACUGCCAGUGAUAAACUGGAGGAAGGUGGGGAUGACGUCAAGUCAUCAUGGCCCUUACGACCAGGGCUACACACGUGCUACAAUGGCAUAUACAAAGAGAAGCGACCUCGCGAGAGCAAGCGGACCUCAUAAAGUAUGUCGUAGUCCGGAUUGGAGUCUGCAACUCGACUCCAUGAAGUCGGAAUCGCUAGUAAUCGUAGAUCAGAAUGCUACGGUGAAUACGUUCCCGGGCCUUGUACACACCGCCCGUCACACCAUGGGAGUGGGUUGCAAAAGAAGUAGGUAGCUUAACCUUCGGGAGGGCGCUUACCACUUUGUGAUUCAUGACUGGGGUGAAGUCGUAACAAGGUAACC
This 1501-nucleotide ribosomal RNA is filed under the name uncultured Klebsiella sp. RNAcentral describes it as "bacterial SSU rRNA". It matches the Rfam family "Bacterial small subunit ribosomal RNA". The record is from RNAcentral. Lineage: Bacteria; Pseudomonadati; Pseudomonadota; Gammaproteobacteria; Enterobacterales; Enterobacteriaceae.